GUGGCCAGCGGCCGGCCGCGGGGCCGUUUUGUCCUGAGGGCCAGAGAAAGGGAGAAGGGGGUGGGGGGACAGCCACGUGGCCGCAGGAGGAUUUACAACAUUUUCUUUCGCCAUCGACGAUAUCGCAAAGUGUGUGAGAGUGGCGGCGGCGCAGCCCGGACCGGAGCGUGAGGGCGCGGGCCAGGUAAGCAGCCCCGGCAGUUUCGCCGCGGACGGGACCCGGGGGCGACCGCGGGCACCGGCCACGCGCAGCGGUUCCGCGGGAUCUCGGCCGGGUCCGCGCUCUGAAGGGUCUCGAGAGCCAUGGGUGGUGCAGGUGGGGCCCUCGGGCCGAAGCAUCUCCGGUGACCCGGGGUUGCCGAGGAGGUGUAGACCAGCACAGGUGGUCCGGCCGGGGCGCCUCCGAAUCCGGGGGUGGUCAAGACGGAUCCCCAAGGCUGAGGUCGGCAGUCCCGGGGACUCGCAGCUGCUGAGCCUGUGGAGACGCGGACCCGUGACCGAGGCACCCUCCAGCAACCCAGGGGCAGCGUUUUCCCCCUACCGGAAAUCUGAUGGGCUUAUGACAUCAUGGCUGGCUGCUGAGCGAUGAAGUGGAUGCCACAAAGAAAUCCGACAUAUCAGAUAGAUUCUGAAACCGGUUUCCCUCCAGCUGUAGUAACAGGCGUGAAGUCAGGAGAAUUUGAGCUUUGUUUAAAAAAAAAAAAAAAAACAUAACAAA
Molecule: long non-coding RNA, 718 nt
Organism: Mandrillus leucophaeus (drill)
Lineage: Eukaryota; Metazoa; Chordata; Mammalia; Primates; Cercopithecidae
Exons: 2
Source: RefSeq, a predicted model, not a curated record